AACCAGGAGUAGAGGGUGGGCCCAGGUUCCCCUGCCAGCUACUGGGGAAGUGGUGCGAACCAGACAGUGGAGAGCGGACUGCCUGGGACAGUUUGCCCAGGACAGCUUUGAUACCCCAGAAGGGGAGGACCAUAGUGCCCUGGCCAGAGGGCUGAGUCACAAAGAAGAAGUUGCAGCUCCUGGAGCGAGAGGGGCCAAAGGGCAAGACAGGACAGGUGAACAGACUGCCAGAGGGGGUGCAGCACUUGGAAACAAUUAAUCCCCAAAGCGGCCAGGGGGAGGCACCCUAAUGAUCAAAAUUGACUGUGAUCAGCUUGGUCUCUGGAUCUCGUCUUAUAACUGGCCGGGUGAGAUUAUACUGUGAUUUUUCAGACACUGUCUGGGACCAAUCCUUAUAGAGCUUCUCCUGAUACCUGCCAGAGACAACAUUCAUCAGGCAUCUGCCAGUCAGCCAAAGAGGCAGGUCUGAAUGAAAGAUCAACCUACUUCACAACUCAGAAAUAUGAAUGAAUUUUAAGAAAAAAUAUCCCACAGCAUCUCCACAAAGACCAAACCUGCAAAUACAUCCAUGAGGAAACUGGGAAAAUGCAAAUCAGAAAGUCAAAGAUUUCAGGGGACUCCAGGCAGCUAUCAGUGGAACAGAGGCAUUGUUACACAAUGGAUGGAAACUGUAGAUUACCUCCUUGUUUCAAACACCUUUUUUUGAGAGCAUUUCAUGCCAUGGGCAGGUGCCAUUUUAACAAUCCUGGAGUUUUAGAUUCUAUACAUGUGCUUUUAUUUAAGAUUAAAUCUAAGUGUAUUUGAACUCUUCAGGGCAGGGAUUGUCUUUGUUCUGCAUAACAGGGCCCUGGGUUUUGACAGAGGUCUCUAGGUGCUACAGUAAUACAAAUAAUAAUCACAGAUGAUUUAUCUGCCUUCUCUUAAAUGUUUUUAUACUGCUAAUGGCUCAGGUUUAAGUGCAAGACCCAUGCCAUUCUUAAUGUAAGGUUCAACGCUUUUUUUUUUUUUUUGCUUCUUUCUUUUUUAAAAAUACCCCACAUGGCCAAUAUGACACUUGGGGGCUUCCAGCAUUGCAAUUCUGCAAUUCCCCCAUUCCCUGGUUCUCCCCUUCUACCUAGCCUUAGUGCACCGCUAUUGAGCGUGGCAAUUACCCUACCUCCCCCCAGAUGCCACUGCCUUAUGGAGCUCAUGAGUGCCAUAGCUCUUUGACUCUCCUAGCCUCUCUUUGCCCAGCAGAGCUUGGACUGAUUGCAGACUCUUCACGUCCCCAGCUUGGAUUGCUCUGUGGAAUGUAGGAGAGAGCUCCAGCAUUCCCAUUUCUUCAUCUGCAUUUUUGGUGGCUGAGAGUUUUGCAGCGCACCCCCACAGCUGUGCUCUCUUUGUGAUGCCUGGAUUACUGUACCAAGCAAUAGCAGGUUUAGUACAUAAGUCUUUACAGUUGGGACUUUUUAAUUCACCUUUGUCCAUGUUUUAGUCUUAUUUAAAUCCAUGUAAAGUUUGAAAAUCAAGCUAUUUUGUUAAACUAGAGAGAACAAAAAAGUCAAAUGCUACGUAAAAUUUCCCAAGUGUCAGAUUGAAGCAUCGAUGGCUUACAAAUGGCCUGAUCAGCUGCCUUCAGCCUUUAAAAAACCUUUGAUUGUACCCUGGA
Molecule: long non-coding RNA, 1648 nt
Organism: Chelonia mydas (Green sea turtle)
Lineage: Eukaryota; Metazoa; Chordata; Testudines; Cheloniidae
Exons: 3
Source: RefSeq, a predicted model, not a curated record